Molecule: small nuclear RNA, 153 nt
Filed under: Canis lupus familiaris (dog)
Lineage: Eukaryota; Metazoa; Chordata; Mammalia; Carnivora; Canidae
Description: U2 spliceosomal RNA (ENSCAFG00845018707.1)
Rfam family: U2 spliceosomal RNA
About the family: U2 is a small nuclear RNA (snRNA) component of the spliceosome (involved in pre-mRNA splicing). Complementary binding between U2 snRNA (in an area lying towards the 5' end but 3' to hairpin I) and the branchpoint sequence (BPS) of the intron results the bulging out of an unpaired adenosine, on the BPS, which initiates a nucleophilic attack at the intronic 5' splice site, thus starting the first of two transesterification reactions that mediate splicing.
Source: Rfam by way of RNAcentral
AUCGCUUCUCGGCCUUUUGGCUAAGAUCAAGUGUAGUAUCUGUUCUUAUCAGUUUAAAUGUGAAUAAUCACCUUGUCACUAUAGCCAAUAGUUGAGAGAAGAAACUUUCUGGAGGAAAAAAAAAAAACUAUUAUUUUUCACUUCUCACUUUUC